UGGUUUGAUCCUGGCUCAGGAUGAACGUUGGCGAUGUGCCUAAGGUAUGCAAGUCGAACGAACCCACCGAAAUAAUUGAAGCUCUUCGGAGUUGAUUUAAUUUCAAUCGGGUUAGUGGCAAACGGGUGAGUAACGCGUAGGUAAUCUACCUCAAAGCCGGGAAUAGCCUUUCGAAAGGAAGAGUAAAACUCGAUGGUCCCAUUUCACGCAAGGUUUAUGGGUAAAACUCCGGUGCUUUGAGAGGAGCCUGCGUCCUAUCAGUUAGUUGGUGAGGUAAUGGCUUACCAAGACUAAGACGGGUAGCUGGCGUGAAAGCGCGAUCAGCCACAAUGGAACUGAGAACGGUCCAUACUCCUACGGGAGGCAGCAAUUAGGAAUCAUGCGCAAUGGGGGCAACCCUGACGCUGCGACAUCGCGUGGAGGACGRAGGUCUUCGGAUUGUAAACUCCUUUUAUAUGGGAAGAAUAAAUGACGGUACCAUAUGAAUAAGCACCUGCUAACUACGUGCCAGAAGCAUCGGUGAUGCGUAGGGUGCAAACGUUAUCCGGAAUUAUUKGGCGUAAAGAGAUGCGUAGGCGUCUUAGUAAGUCUUUUGUUAAAGACCACAGCCUAACUGUGGRAGAGCAUUGGAAACUKCUAGGRUUKAGACAGAGAGGGGUAAAGGGAAUUCUCGGUGGRGUGGUAAAAUACGUUGAUAUCRAGAGGAACACCAAAAGSCGAAGGCACUUUACUGGCUCUGUUCUGACSCUAAGGCYCGAAACCGUGGGUAGCAAAACGRAUUAGAUACCCGUGUAGYCCACCCCGUAAACGAUGGAUSCUAGCCGUUGGGCACAACCGUGUUUUAYCUUCGGAUUCUAUGUGGAAGUGUUCAGUGGCGCAGUUAACACGAUAAGCAUCCCSCCUGGGUAGUACGGCCGCAAGGCUAAAACUCAAAUGAAUUGGCGGGCUCCCGCACAAGCGGAGGAGCGCGUGGUUUAAUUCGAUGGUAAUCGAAGAACCUUACCAGGGCUUGAAAUAUACCUGCAAGCUUUCUGAAAAGAGAGCCGCCUAAGAGGGUGGUAUACAGGUGCUGCAUGGCCGUCGUCAGCUCGUGUCGUGAGAUGUAGGGUUAAGUCCCGUAACGAGCGCAACCCCUUUCCCAUGUUACAAGUGUCUUGGGAGACUGCAGCGGUAAAACGUUGAGGAAGGUGGGGAUGACGUCUGGUCCUCAUGGCCCUUAUGUCCUGGGCGACACACGCGCUACAAUGGUAGGUACAACGGGAAGCCAAACCGCAAGGUGGAGCAAAUCCUAAAAAACCUAUCCCAGUCCGGAUUGAGGUCUGCAACUCGACCUCAUGAAGUUGGAUUCGCUAGUAAUCGCAGAUCAGCCAUGCUGCGGUGAAUACGUUCUCGGGGGUUGCACACACCGCCCGUCAAGCCAUGGAAGCAGGUAGUACCCGAAGGUGCUCUGAAUUUAUUCGGGGUGACGAAGGUAAUGCUUGUAACUGGGGUUAAGYCGUAACAAGGUAGCCG
RNAcentral lists this ribosomal RNA (1512 nucleotides) under uncultured bacterium. Its description in RNAcentral is "bacterial SSU rRNA". It matches the Rfam family "Bacterial small subunit ribosomal RNA". The record is from RNAcentral.